AGCAGGUGGAGAUGAGAAAGCUUCUCUUGGAGACUACAAUGGAGUAUGACUAUGGAGGAGCCAACCCAAAGCAUGAGCCAAAAAAAGGCAAGCCUGGUGGUGGAAAAAUUCCUUAGAGCCAUUUUCACCAAGUCUUAGUGGUGGAUCCUUUUUUUUUUGUAGCCUUUUUUCUAGGGUUAGUAUUGGAGCUUAGGAGAUAUUCUUUUGGUUGUAAGGAUGAAGAAACAUAAUAUGUCCGGUAUUAUCCAAUAAUCUUUUAGGUAACUAAUAUAAAUGAGAGGAAGAACAUGGUGUUCUAUUCCAAAUAUUAUGUUGAGAUAUUAAAGGCAUUGAAAAAUAAAUGGUGAUUUUAUUACAAAAUAAACCAUGUUUUAAGUUCUCUACUUAGAGGACUACAAUAUUUAAACACGUGAACAACAUGAAAGAAAGGCAUUUGUAGAGGA
Molecule: long non-coding RNA, 443 nt
Filed under: Amborella trichopoda
Lineage: Eukaryota; Viridiplantae; Streptophyta; Magnoliopsida; Amborellales; Amborellaceae
Description: long non-coding RNA (ATRI_LNC002877)
Source: RNAcentral